Ipomoea nil (Japanese morning glory) is the source of this 72-nucleotide transfer RNA. It matches the Rfam family "tRNA". From Rfam's summary of the family: Transfer RNA (tRNA) molecules are approximately 80 nucleotides in length. Their secondary structure includes four short double-helical elements and three loops (D, anti-codon, and T loops). Further hydrogen bonds mediate the characteristic L-shaped molecular structure. tRNAs have two regions of fundamental functional importance: the anti-codon, which is responsible for specific mRNA codon recognition, and the 3' end, to which the tRNAs corresponding amino acid is attached (by aminoacyl-tRNA synthetases). tRNAs cope with the degeneracy of the genetic code in two manners: having more than one tRNA (with a specific anti-codon) for a particular amino acid; and 'wobble' base-pairing, i.e. permitting non-standard base-pairing at the 3rd anti-codon position. NCBI's taxonomy places the organism in Eukaryota, Viridiplantae, Streptophyta, Magnoliopsida, Solanales, Convolvulaceae. The record is from Rfam.
UAGGUUGUCGUCCAGCGGUUGGGAUAUCUGGCUUUCAACCAGGAGACCUGGGUUCGAUUUCCGGCAACGGAA